Molecule: ribosomal RNA, 223 nt
Filed under: uncultured bacterium
Lineage: Bacteria
Description: partial 16S ribosomal RNA
Rfam family: Bacterial small subunit ribosomal RNA
Source: RNAcentral
GGUUUAAUUCGAUGAUACGCGAGGAACCUUACCCGGGCUUGAACUGCCAGUGACUCAUGCAGAGACGCAUGUUUCUUCGGACACUGGGCGGAGGUGCUGCAUGGUUGUCGUCAGCUCGUGCCGUGAGGUGUCGGCUUAAGUGCCAUAACGAGCGCAACCCUUCUCCCUGUUUGCCAUCGGGUAAUGCCGGGCACUCCAGGGACACUGCCAUCGUAAGAUGUGA